RNAcentral lists this ribosomal RNA (274 nucleotides) under uncultured bacterium. RNAcentral describes it as "partial 16S ribosomal RNA". It matches the Rfam family "Bacterial small subunit ribosomal RNA", at positions 523 to 796 of the family's 1533-position model. The record is from RNAcentral.
AUACGGAGGGUGCAAGCGUUACUCGGAAUCACUGGGCGUAAAGCGCGCGCAGGCGGCUUGAUAAGUUGGAUGUGAAAGCCUACGGCUCAACCGUAGAACUGCAUCCAAAACUGUCAAGCUAGAGUCUGGGAGGGGAAGAUGGAAUUAGUUGUGUAGGGGUAAAAUCCGUAGAGAUAACUAGGAAUACCAAAAGCGAAGGCGAUCUUCUGGAACAGUGCUGACGCUGAGGCGCGAAAGCGUGGGGAGCAAACAGGAUUAGAAACCCCAGUAGUCC